UACGUAGGGUGCAGGCGUUAAUCGGAAUUACUGGGCGUAAAGCGUGCGCAGGCGGUUUCUUAAGUCAGAUGUGAAAGCCCCGGGCUUAACCUGGGAACUGCGUUUGAAACUGGGAGACUGGAGUGUGGCAGAGGGGGGUGGAAUUCCACGUGUAGCAGUGAAAUGCGUAGAUAUGUGGAGGAACACCGAUGGCGAAGGCAGCCCCCUGGGUUAACACUGACGCUCAUGCACGAAAGCGUGGGGAGCAAACAGG
This 253-nucleotide ribosomal RNA is filed under the name uncultured bacterium. RNAcentral's name for it is "partial 16S ribosomal RNA". It matches the Rfam family "Bacterial small subunit ribosomal RNA", at positions 524 to 776 of the family's 1533-position model. The record is from RNAcentral.